Gossypium arboreum is the source of this 107-nucleotide non-coding RNA. The record is from Rfam. NCBI's taxonomy places the organism in Eukaryota, Viridiplantae, Streptophyta, Magnoliopsida, Malvales, Malvaceae.
AACCCAUAGUGAGGGCACCGUCUUAAUAAGUCAUUAUACCUCUCCCAUGCAUCAUAAAACAUUUCUAAAUUCAUCUGCGCGAAGAAAGAGAUAUCAUUCCUCAACUU